This is a long non-coding RNA of Dipodomys spectabilis (banner-tailed kangaroo rat), 433 nucleotides long. RefSeq lists it as uncharacterized. The record is from RefSeq and is a predicted model, not a curated record. Lineage: Eukaryota; Metazoa; Chordata; Mammalia; Rodentia; Heteromyidae. The transcript has 4 exons.
AGCUUCCUUUCCCGCGCGGCCGCCCAGAGGAAAUGGCUCGCGGCGCUUUGUCAGCCGCGCCUGCGGGGCCGUGGCGCCGGCGCCCCGGGAGGUACAAUAAGUCCUGUGUGUUUUGAAGUUACAUGAAGCUAGUUUCAUUAGGACAAAUGUGUCCUAGAAGUUUGUCAUAGAAGAUGGCUGAAAAAACUGAGUAGGACCACAUGGGAGGUCCAAGUCCAUUAGCUGUGGGGGUUAAAAUAUGCAUUACCUGAAGUGAUUGCAACUUUUCAAGAAACAAUCUGAUAACUCCAAAUGACUAGGGAAUGUGGACUGCUACAUCUUGGAAGGAAAAGUGAAGAAUUGGUGAAAAGAAGAUGAACAGACGAAGAUUAAUUUACUGUUGUUAAACGCAAUAAAUAUAUGUAGAAAAUAAAUAAGUGGCUAGUUAUCUUAA